This 484-nucleotide ribosomal RNA is filed under the name uncultured bacterium. Its description in RNAcentral is "partial 16S ribosomal RNA". It matches the Rfam family "Bacterial small subunit ribosomal RNA", at positions 30 to 507 of the family's 1533-position model. The record is from RNAcentral.
AUUGAACGCUGGCGGCAGGCCUAACACAUGCAAGUCGAGCGGAUGAAGUGAGCUUGCUUCUGGAUUCAGCGGCGGACGUGUGAGUAAUGCCUAGGAAUCUGCCUGGUAGUGGGGGAUAACGUCCGGAAACGGGCGCUAAUACCGCAUACGUCCUGAGGGAGAAAGUGGGGGAUCUUGUGACCUAACGCUAUCAGAUGAGCCUAGGUCGGAUUAGCUAGUUGGGGGGGUAAAGGCCUACCAAGGCGACGAUCCGUAACUGGUCUGAGAGGAUGAUCAGUCACACUGGAACUGAGACACGGUCCAGACUCCUACGGGAGGGAGCAGUGGGGAAUAUUGGACAAUGGGCGAAAGCCUGAUCCAGCCAUGCCGCGUGUGUGAAGAAGGUCUUCGGAUUGUAAAGCACUUUAAGUUGGGAGGAAGGGCAGUAAGUUAAUACCUUGCUGUUUUGACGUUACCAACAGAAUAAGCACCGGCUAACUUCGUG